Molecule: ribosomal RNA, 216 nt
Filed under: Glomeromycotina sp.
Lineage: Eukaryota; Fungi; Glomeromycota
Description: partial small subunit ribosomal RNA
Rfam family: Eukaryotic small subunit ribosomal RNA (bases 40-216)
Source: RNAcentral
GGGUCAGUAGGUUGGUCGUGCCACCGGUACGUACUGGUCUCACUGAUUCCUCCUUCCUGAAGAACCGUAAUGCCAUUAAUUUGGUGUUGCGGGGAAGCAGGACUGUUACUUUGAAAAAAUUAGAGUGUUUAAAGCAAGCUAACGCUUGAAUACAUUAGCAUGGAAUAAUGAAAUAGGACGAUCGAUCCUAUUUUGUUGGUUCCUAGGAUUGACGUA